Molecule: ribosomal RNA, 787 nt
Filed under: uncultured soil bacterium
Lineage: Bacteria
Description: bacterial SSU rRNA
Rfam family: Bacterial small subunit ribosomal RNA
Source: RNAcentral
AGAGUUUGAUCCUGGCUCAGAGCGAACGCUGGCGGCGUGCUUAACACAUGCAAGUCGAACGCGCAACAUUCUGUAGCAAUACAGGGUGUGGGCGCGUGGCGAACGGGUGCGUAACACGUGGAUAACCUUCCUUCAGGUGGGGAAUAACCCCGCGAAAGCGGGGCUAAUACCGCAUAACAUGACGAUGCCACAUGGUGUUGUCUUCAAAGCCGCAGGGCGCCUAAAUAGGGAUCCGCGGCCGAUUACCUUGUUGGCAAGGUAAUGGCUCACCAAGGCUUUGAUCGGUAGCCGGACUGAAAGGUUGGCCGGCCACACUGGAACUGAGACACGGUCCAGACUCCUACGGGAGGCAGCAGUGGGGAAUCUUGCACAAUGGACGAAAGUCUGAUGCAGCAACUCCGCGUGGGGGAUGAAUCUUUUCGGAGUGUAAACCCCUUUCGACCCGGAAGAAUGCCCGCAAGGGUUUGACGGUACGGGUAUAAUAAGCCCCGGCUAACUACCUGCCAUCAGCCGCGGUAAUACUUAAGGGGCCAGCGUUGCUCGGAAUUACUGGGCGUAAAGGGUCCGUAGGCGGUGUGGCAAGUCGGGAGUGACUCUCUGGGCUUAACCCAGAGGCUGCUUCCGAAACUGCCAUGCUAGAGUGUGAGAGAGGCGAGUGGAAUUACAGGUGUAGCGGUGAAAUGCGUACAUAUCCGUAGGAACAUCCCAGGCGAACGCGGCUCGCUGGAUCACAACUGACGCUGACGGACGAAAGCUAGGGGAGCAAACAUGAUUGAUACCCUGGUAG